CGGGACGUAGCUCAGUUUGGGAGAGCGCUUCCUUGGGGUGGAAGAGGUCGUGAGUUCAAGUCUCGUCGUUCCGACCA
RNAcentral lists this transfer RNA (77 nucleotides) under Quinella sp. 1Q7. RNAcentral describes it as "tRNA-Pro". It matches the Rfam family "tRNA". From Rfam's summary of the family: Transfer RNA (tRNA) molecules are approximately 80 nucleotides in length. RNAcentral also lists the same sequence under 1 other name. Lineage: Bacteria; Bacillati; Bacillota; Negativicutes; Veillonellales; Veillonellaceae. The record is from RNAcentral.